CAGUCGCCGCGGGAACACGAAGGGUGCAAGCGUUACUCGGAAUUACUGGGCGUAAAGCGUGCGUAGGUGGUGGUUUAAGUCCGUUGUGAAAGCCCUGGGCUCAACCUGGGAAUUGCAGUGGAUACUGGGUCACUAGAGUGUGGUAGAGGAUAGUGGAAUUUCCGGUGUAGCAGUGAAAUGCGUAGAGAUCGGAAGGAACAUCUGUGGCGAAGGCGACUAUCUGGGCCAACACUGACACUGAGGCACGAAAGCGUGGGGAGCAAACAGGAUUAGAUACCCGCGUAGUCCCUGUCUCUUAUAC
RNAcentral lists this ribosomal RNA (301 nucleotides) under uncultured bacterium. RNAcentral describes it as "partial 16S ribosomal RNA". It matches the Rfam family "Bacterial small subunit ribosomal RNA", at positions 509 to 807 of the family's 1533-position model. The record is from RNAcentral.